CCUACGGGAGGCAGCAGUGAGGAAUAUUGGUCAAUGGGCGGAAGCCUGAACCAGCCAAGUAGCGUGCAGGAUGACGGCCCUACGGGUUGUAAACUGCUUUUAUACGGGAAUAACGCGCCUUACGUGUAGGGCUUUGCAUGUACCGUAUGAAUAAGGACCGGCUAAUUCCGUGCCAGCAGCCGCGGUAAUACGGAAGGUCCGGGCGUUAGCCGGAUUUAUUGGGGUUAAAGGGAGCGUAGGCCGCAUGUCAAGCGUGCUGUGAAAUGUCCGGGCUCAACCCGGGCCGUGCAGCGCGAACUGGCAUGCUUGAGUCCGCGGAAGGCAGGCAGAAUUCGUCGUGUAGCGGUGAAAUGCUUAGAUAUGACGAGGAACCCCGAUUGCGAAGGCGGCUCGCUGCAGCGGAACUGACGCUGAUGCGCGAAAGCGCGGGUAUCGAACAGGAUUAGAUACCCUGGUAGUC
This 460-nucleotide ribosomal RNA is filed under the name uncultured bacterium. RNAcentral describes it as "partial 16S ribosomal RNA". It matches the Rfam family "Bacterial small subunit ribosomal RNA", at positions 338 to 795 of the family's 1533-position model. The record is from RNAcentral.